GUGGGGAAUAUUGGGCAAUGGGGGAAACCCUGACCCAGCGACGCCGCGUGAGGGAAGAAGGCCUUAGGGUCGUAAACCUCUGUUGUGUGGGGAGAAGAGCGUGACGGUACCACACGAGGAAGUCCCGGCUAACUACGUGCCAGCAGCCGCGGUAAUACGUAGGGGACGAGCGUUGUCCGGAUUUACUGGGCGUAAAGGGCGCGUAGGCGGUCAUUUAAGUCAGCUGUGAAAUGGUUUGGCUUAACAGGAUAAUGCGGUUGAAACUGGAUGACUGGAGGGCUGGAGAGGCAAGUGGAAUUCCCAGUGUAGCGGUGAAAUGCGUAGAUAUUGGGAAGAACACCGGUGGCGAAGGCGACUUGCUGGCCAGCAACUGACGCUGAGGCGCGAAAGCCAGGGGAGCAAACGGGAUUAGAAACCCCUGUAGUCC
This 427-nucleotide ribosomal RNA is filed under the name uncultured bacterium. Its description in RNAcentral is "partial 16S ribosomal RNA". It matches the Rfam family "Bacterial small subunit ribosomal RNA", at positions 354 to 796 of the family's 1533-position model. The record is from RNAcentral.